RNAcentral lists this ribosomal RNA (253 nucleotides) under uncultured bacterium. Its description in RNAcentral is "partial 16S ribosomal RNA". It matches the Rfam family "Bacterial small subunit ribosomal RNA", at positions 524 to 776 of the family's 1533-position model. The record is from RNAcentral.
UACGGAGGGGGGUAGCGUUGUUCGGAAUUACUGGGCGUAAAGCGCACGUAGGCGGAUCAGAAAGUUGGGGGUGAAAUCCCAGGGCUCAACCCUGGAACUGCCUUCAAAACUCCUGAUCUGGAGUUCGAGAGAGGUGAGUGGAAUUCCGAGUGUAGAGGUGAAAUUCGUAGAUAUUCGGAGGAACACCAGUGGCGAAGGCGGCUCACUGGCUCGAUACUGACGCUGAGGUGCGAAAGCGUGGGGAGCAAACAGG